RNAcentral lists this ribosomal RNA (468 nucleotides) under uncultured bacterium. Its description in RNAcentral is "partial 16S ribosomal RNA". It matches the Rfam family "Bacterial small subunit ribosomal RNA", at positions 28 to 507 of the family's 1533-position model. The record is from RNAcentral.
GACGAACGCUGGCGGCGUGCUUAACACAUGCAAGUCGAACGGAAAGGCCCUGCUUUUGCGGGGUGCUCGAGUGGCGAACGGGUGAGUAACACGUGAGUAACAUGCCCUUGACUUUGGGAUAACUUCAGGAAACUGGGGCUAAUACCGGAUAGGAGCUCCUGCUGCACGGUGGGGGUUGGAAAGUUUCGGCGGUUGGGGAUGGAAUCGCAGCUUAUCGGCUUGAUGGUGGGGUAGGGGUUUACCAAGGCUUUGACGGGUAGCCGGCGUGGGAGGGUGGCCAGCCUCAUUGCGACUGAGGGACGCAGCAGACUGCUAUGGGAGGCAGCAGUGGGAAGUAUGGCGCAAUGGGCGGAAGUCUGUGGCGGAGACGCCGGGUGCGUGAUACCCUCCUUUGGGUUAAAAACCGAUUUGGCCUGUGCCGUGGCGGGAUUGACGGUAAUGGGUAAAGAAGCACCGGCUAACUACGUG